AAAAAAUUGGGAAUUGGCUGCUGCCCAAAUCUACAGUCCAUGCCAGAAGAGGGUCUGCCAAAAUCGUUAUCUUUUCUAAGUGUCAAGAAAUGUCCAUUGCUGAAAACUCGGUGCCUUAGGGAGAAAGGGGAAGACUGGCCCAAGAUAGCUCAUGUACCCAUCAUAAAAAUUGAUGAAAAAGUGAUCUGAAUAUGAUGAGCUUAAUUUCCACUGCAACCCCAGCUCUUCAAUAUAUCCAACUUCUUCUCAGGAUAUUGAUCUAUAUUCUCUUUACUUGUUUGAGGCUCCAACAAUAUCUUAGUUGCAGUGAUCCCCAGUGUCCAAAGCUUUUGACUUAAUAGCAGAAGAAGGCUCUGGCUCUGUGGAGUGCAGUUGGAAUAUUGUGGAAAGCACUGUUAAUUGAACGGCCCUCAGGCUGCGCAAAAUCGCAGUUAUAGAAUUCCAUGCCUCAUAUUCCUUAUGAUUAAAUGGAAGAAAGAAAAUGCUUGCACCUUUAUUCCUCAACUAAUACUUGCAGAAUUCCUCUUGCCUUUUUGAUAAGCUUUUAAUGCAAAGACGCUUUGCAGUUCUGCUAAAUUAUUCAGUGGAGUUGUGUUCUUGGUACUUGGUAUGUACCACUUCUACCUCCUAAAUUUUUAAAUAAUUCUUAACUAUUUCUUCAGUGUUCCAAUCACAUACUGCUCUCCCAAUUUGAUGCUUUUGACUAGGUUUUAGUUGUCAAUAUAGCCCACAGUUCUGAUUGUCAAUUACAGGAUUUAUUUAAUUUGUGUCAAUUCCAAAGUGACUGCUUCCUACCAAUUGAACCUCAUUUUUGCAUCCAUAUACCUAAACUCAUACUAUUUCCCAAGAAACUCUAAAAGCUCAUCUCUGUAACAGAUUUUUAUAUUUUCUUGUGUUCUGAGAUCUCAAUUUUACUGGUGGUCUUUUAAACCGUAUGCUUUGUUUACCGUUAACUGGAUUUCAUACUCUGUUCACUUUGCACUGGUUCUCUUCUUUGAUCAUCUAGUUGGAGUGCUAAAGGUGGAGUGAACCAAGUCACAUCAAGAACAAUUCUUGAAUCAAUAAUUAACUUAGGUUUCAUAGUAUCAGUGAUGAAGGAAACUAAUUCAAGAACAAAUGUAGAACUGAAAUUGAUAAUCUGAAUUGAACUGAAAAUACAAUGAAAAACAAGUCUUAAAGAGAGGAUCACAUGGAAUGUUUACAAUCACAAAAUCAUCAAAUACUAACUAAUACACCUUGCAAUCCCACUCUUAUACCUAAACUACUCUGCCAAGCUCCUAACUAAUUCUGUUUGAUAUUACUUUUUAUUUUCAGUUGAGACUUGGGAUAGGCAUGAAGGGAAAAUUCCAUUGGGUGAUUCUGAUCUUUAGUAGAUA
Long non-coding RNA from Quercus lobata, 1376 nucleotides. RefSeq lists it as uncharacterized. The record is from RefSeq and is a predicted model, not a curated record. The transcript is spliced from 3 exons. NCBI's taxonomy places the organism in Eukaryota, Viridiplantae, Streptophyta, Magnoliopsida, Fagales, Fagaceae.